CCUCGCGAGAGCAAGCGGACCUCAUAAAGUGCGUCGUAGUCCGGAUUGGAGUCUGCAACUCGACUCCAUGAAGUCGGAAUCGCUAGUAAUCGUGGAUCAGAAUGCCACGGUGAAUACGUUCCCGGGCCUUGUACACACCGCCCGUCACACCAUGGGAGUGGGUUGCAAAAGAAGUAGGUAGCUUAACCUUCGGGAGGGCGCUUACCACUUUGUGAUUCAUGACUGGGGUGAAGUCGUAACAAGGUAACCGUAGGGGAACCUGCGGUUGGAUCAC
RNAcentral lists this ribosomal RNA (274 nucleotides) under Escherichia coli. RNAcentral's name for it is "partial 16S ribosomal RNA". It matches the Rfam family "Bacterial small subunit ribosomal RNA", at positions 1253 to 1526 of the family's 1533-position model. Lineage: Bacteria; Pseudomonadati; Pseudomonadota; Gammaproteobacteria; Enterobacterales; Enterobacteriaceae. The record is from RNAcentral.